CUCACGAGAGCUGAUGGCUUUAUAUAUGGGAGUUUGCCUGCACAAGCUCUUUUGCCUGCGGCCACCUAAGACGUAACUUUGCUCCUUAUUCGCUUUCCGCCAUGAUUGUGAGGCCUCCCCCACCAUGUGGAACUCUUCUUCUAGAUGGGAUCGAACUUCCUCCUUUCGCUCAGAGAGGUUUGAUUGUCUGAAGCCUUCUUCUCUCAACUUGUCAAAGUCAUUCUCCAUCUAGGUUUGUCCGUUGCUGAAAACGUCCUAAUAAGAAGAUAAGGUGACCGAAUAAGGGGAUUACUUGGCAGAGAUAUGAGAGAACUGGGUUCUUGACCCCACUUUGCCAUGAACUUGGGGGAAAAUUCACCACUGAGCUCAAGCAUUGUAAGACAUCCUGUUCUAAGGAGGGAUGAGGACAAAUCCUCUACUGUUCCCAACAGUUGCACAGGGCACUGCAUCUACAGUUACCCUGAGAACUACAAGCAGGAGGUGAAAGAGCUGAGUCAGCCAAGGUCAUCUGGGGACCUAUCCACUGGCAGAGAUAGCCAGUCAUGGGACUGCUGGAUCAACUGGUAGGUACUAUUUUUAGUUAUUUGAGAAAUCUCUUACUGUUUUCCAUAGAGGUUGCACUGGUUUACAUUCCCACCAAUAGUGGAUAACUGUUCCCUUUCCUCUGCAUCCCUGCCAACAUCUGUUGUUUUUUGACUUUUUUAUGAUAGCCAUUUUGACUGGUGUGAGAUGGUAUCUCGUUGUGAUUUUAAUUUGAAUUUCUCUGAUAAUGGGCAAUUUUGAACAUUUCUUCAUGUAUUUAUUGGGCAAUUGUAUGUUUUCUUUUGAAAAAUCUCUGUUCAUGUCCUUUGCCCACUUUUUAAUAGAGUUGUUUGUUUUUUCUUGCUGAGUUGAGUUCCUUGUAGAUUACUGAUAUUAGUCCUUUGUCAGAUGCAUGGUUUGCAAAUACUUUUUCCUAUUCUGUGCAUUGUCUCUUUACUCUGUUGCCUAUAUUUUUUGCUGUGCGGAGCUUUUUAGUUUAAGUCUCAUUUGUCUGUUUUUGCUGCAUUUAAUUUCGAGUUAUUAGUCAUAAAUUCUUUGCCUAGACCAAUGUCCA
Molecule: long non-coding RNA, 1096 nt
Filed under: Homo sapiens (human)
Lineage: Eukaryota; Metazoa; Chordata; Mammalia; Primates; Hominidae
Description: HSALNT0080123
Source: RNAcentral